This 700-nucleotide ribosomal RNA is filed under the name uncultured Pirellula sp. RNAcentral's name for it is "bacterial SSU rRNA". It matches the Rfam family "Bacterial small subunit ribosomal RNA", at positions 61 to 779 of the family's 1533-position model. Lineage: Bacteria; Pseudomonadati; Planctomycetota; Planctomycetia; Pirellulales; Pirellulaceae. The record is from RNAcentral.
GUCGAGCGGGUAUAGCAAUAUAUCAGCGGCGAAAGGGAGAGUAACGCGUAGCUACGUACCCCGGAGACCGGAAUAGCCAGCCGAAAGGCUGGGUAAUGCCGGAUGACGUCUCUGGACUAAAGGGUGUGAUUCCGCUUUGGGAGCGGGCUGCGUUGUACUAGCUAGUUGGUAGGGUAAUGGCCUACCAAGGCGAUGAUGCAUACCGGGCGUGAGAGCGUGGCCCGGCUCACUGGGACUGAGACACUGCCCAGACACCUACGGGUGGCUGCAGUCGAGAAUCUUCGGCAAUGAGCGCAAGCUUGACCGAGCGACGCCGCGUGCGGGAUGAAGGCCUUCGGGUUGUAAACCGCUUUCGGUAGGGAGGAAAUUGCCAGGGGUUCUCCCCCGGUAUUGACCUAUCUUCGGAAGAAGGACGGGCUAAGUUCGUGCCAGCAGCCGCGGUAAUACGAACCGUCCAAACGUUAUUCGGAUUUAUUGGGCUUAAAGGGUAUGUAGGCGGCGCUGUCAGUCGGGUGUGAAAUCCCUCGGCUCAACCGAGGAACUGCGCCCGAUACUGCAGCGCUUGAGGGAGACAGAGGUAAGCGGAACUGAUGGUGGAGCGGUGAAAUGCGUUGAUAUCAUCAGGAACACCAGUGGCGAAAGCGGCUUACUGGGUCUCUUCUGACGCUGAGAUACGGAAGCUAGGGGAGCGAACGGGAUU